RNAcentral lists this ribosomal RNA (254 nucleotides) under uncultured bacterium. RNAcentral's name for it is "partial 16S ribosomal RNA". It matches the Rfam family "Bacterial small subunit ribosomal RNA", at positions 524 to 776 of the family's 1533-position model. The record is from RNAcentral.
UACGUAGGGGGCGAGCGUUGUCCGGAUUUAUUGGGCGUAAAGAGCUCGUAGGCGGUUUGGCAAGUCGGGUGUGAAAACUCCGGGCUCAACCCGGAGACGCCACUCGAUACUGCUAUGACUUGAGUCCGGUAGGGGAGUGCGGAAUUCCUGGUGUAGCGGUGAAAUGCGCAGAUAUCGGGAGGAACACCGGUGGCGAAGGCGGUUCUCUGGGCCUGUACUGACGCUGAGGAGCGAAAGCGUGGGGAGCGAACAGG